GACGUAGGGCGCGAGCGUUGUCCGGAUUUAUUGGGCGUAAAGGGCGCGUAGGCGGCUUGGCAAGUGGAAGGUGAAAUCCCUCGGCUUAACCGAGGAACUGCCCUCCAAACUGCUUCGCUUGAGACCGGGAGAGGUGAGUGGAAUUCCCAGUGUAGCGGUGAAAUGCGUAGAUAUUGGGAGGAACACCAGUGGCGAAGGCGGCUCACUGGACCGGUACUGACGCUGAUGCGCGAAAGCGUGGGGAGCAAACGGG
RNAcentral lists this ribosomal RNA (253 nucleotides) under uncultured bacterium. RNAcentral's name for it is "partial 16S ribosomal RNA". It matches the Rfam family "Bacterial small subunit ribosomal RNA", at positions 524 to 776 of the family's 1533-position model. The record is from RNAcentral.